GAUUUCUGGUUCGACGUGCCUGGCCCGCCCGCGUCAGCGGUGUGAGUGCCGGAGCGCGUCCGCCAUCCUUCGGGAAUUACGGCCUUGCCCUUCACUGGGUUGAGGUCGCGAUCCCGAUCUUUUACUUUGAAAAAAUUAGAGUGUUUAAAGCAGGCUUACGCUGUGAAUACAUUAGCAUGGAAUAAUAAUUUAGGACUUUUGUUCGAUUGUUGGUUUGCGGAUAAAAGUAAUGAUUGAUAGGGAUAGUUGGGGGUGCUAGUAUUCAGCGACCAGAGGUGAAAUUCUUGGAUUCGCUGAAGACUAACUUAUGCGAAAGCAUU
RNAcentral lists this ribosomal RNA (320 nucleotides) under Ventricleftida sp. RNAcentral describes it as "SSU rRNA". The stretch from base 106 to 320 matches the Rfam family "Eukaryotic small subunit ribosomal RNA", at positions 736 to 955 of the family's 1831-position model. Lineage: Eukaryota; Cercozoa; Thecofilosea; Ventricleftida. The record is from RNAcentral.